AUUGAACGCUGGCGGCAUGCCUUACACAUGCAAGUCGAACGGCAGCGGGGGAGAAGCUUGCUUUUCCUGCCGGCGAGUGGCGAACGGGUGAGUAAUACAUCGGAACGUGCCCUGUAGUGGGGGAUAACUAGUCGAAAGAUUAGCUAAUACCGCAUACGACCUGAGGGUGAAAGUGGGGGACCGCAAGGCCUCAUGCUAUAGGAGCGGCCGAUGUAUGAUUAGCUGGUUGGUGGGGUAAAGGCCUAACAAGGCGACGAUAAGUAGCUGGUCUGAGCGGACGAUCAGCCACACUGGGACUGAGACACGGCCCAGACUACUACGGGAGGCAGCAGUGGGGAAUUUUGGACAAUGGGCGAAAGCCUGAUCCAGCAAUGCCGCGUGUGUGAAGAAGGCCUUCGGGUUGUAAAGCACUUUUGUCCGGAAAGAAAUGGCUCUGGUUAAUACCUGGGGUCGAUGACGGUACCGGAAGAAUAAGGACCGGCUAACUACGUGCCAGCCGCCGCGGUAA
RNAcentral lists this ribosomal RNA (508 nucleotides) under uncultured bacterium. Its description in RNAcentral is "partial 16S ribosomal RNA". It matches the Rfam family "Bacterial small subunit ribosomal RNA", at positions 30 to 523 of the family's 1533-position model. The record is from RNAcentral.